GAGUUUGAUCAUGGCUCAGAACGAACGCUGGCGGCAUGCCUAACACAUGCAAGUCGAACGAUCCCUUCGGGGAUAGUGGCGCACGGGUGCGUAACGCGUGGGAACCUGCCCUUAGGUUCGAAUAACUCCCCGAAGGGUGCUAAGUACCGAUAAUGUCUUCGGACCAAGAUUUAUCGCCUUUGGAUGGGCCCGCGUUGGGAUUAGCUAGUUGGUGGGGUAAAGGCCUACCAAGGCGACGAUCCAUAGCUGGUCUUAGAGGAUGAUCAGCCACACUGGGACUGAGACACGGCCCAGGACUCCUACGGGAGGCAGCACGUGGGGAA
Molecule: ribosomal RNA, 323 nt
Filed under: uncultured Alphaproteobacteria bacterium
Lineage: Bacteria; Pseudomonadati; Pseudomonadota; Alphaproteobacteria
Description: bacterial SSU rRNA
Rfam family: Bacterial small subunit ribosomal RNA
Source: RNAcentral